This 89-nucleotide ribosomal RNA is filed under the name Sphaerisporangium album. RNAcentral's name for it is "partial 23S ribosomal RNA". It matches the Rfam family "Bacterial large subunit ribosomal RNA", at positions 2838 to 2925 of the family's 2925-position model. The record is from RNAcentral. Lineage: Bacteria; Bacillati; Actinomycetota; Actinomycetes; Streptosporangiales; Streptosporangiaceae.
CAGGUGAUGACUGGGUUGAUAGGCCGGGUGUGGAAGCAUCGUAAGGUGUGGAGCUGACCGGUACUAAUAGGCCGAGGACUUGACCACAG